Molecule: long non-coding RNA, 1886 nt
Filed under: Homo sapiens (human)
Lineage: Eukaryota; Metazoa; Chordata; Mammalia; Primates; Hominidae
Description: HSALNT0381410
Source: RNAcentral
UCCAGGUUCAGCCUAGGCACACUCAGUAUCCAACACAGGCUGGAGAUGAAAUAAGGAAACUCUUUUGGGCAUAGCUGUAAGGUCAACAAAUUGGAAAAAGCCACAAUUCACCCUUGGGAAGGAUUAAAUAUGCCGACAUCCUCCAAAUUGAUUUACCUAGAUCAGACCACAUGUUAAUGAGGCAGACAAGUUACUCUAAUUCAUCGUUACUAUUCUAAAUGCAGGGACCUUUUCACAUUGAAGAGGCGGGGCAAUGGAUUCAAAUGAGCAUCACUCACUUACGGCUUGUCACUCACCCUUGCUAGGCCAAAGCCAUUUAUAAUUGCUGUCAUCUAAACUGCACUGAAACGAACUGGACAUUCAAAGAGCGCAGCUCCCAAGAAACAAAGGCUAAUAAGAGCAGUUACCAGCAUUUUUGGAACAAAGCAGACGGAAGCUGGGAUAGGAGGAAAGAAGAGGACAGAAGCAGAGACAGAGUUCUAAUGAGACAUUUCACCAAGAUUUAUGAAGGCUCCUUCUUGAGCAAACUACAGUGCGAGGUGAUCUGGGGACUAUUGUACAUGAAGCCAUGCAGCUUUGUCUGAAAGAUACCUACUCAACACCUCUGGAUGAGCCCUGUGAGAAAGCUCUCCAACACAGGGGAGGGAAUGAGGCUCUGACAAGCACAGCAAGCACACACGGCCUGGACACGCUGCCGAGGAGCCUCUGCUUUUAACCCUCCAGGCUUUCCAGAUACUUUCCUGAGUGAACUUUUGGUGUCCCCUUUCAUAAUAUAAGCUCCAGAAAGCGGAAGUUCAAUUAAACCAGAAAAACCUGUUUAAUUGAAGCCAACCAUUGUUUAUUGAACACUGAUUGGUGGAAAGCACUGUGGUAAGUGUUGAGGAAACAAGCUUGGUAAGACACAGUCUGUGCCUUAUGUUUGCUUCCCACUCUCAUCAGUCUUGACCAGGGAUUGGCAAAUGUUUUCUUAAAGGUUCAGAUAGUAAAUAUUUUAGACUUGUGGGCCAUAUAGUCUCUAUCAAAACUAUUCAACUCUGCAGCUGAAGCAUGAAAGUAACCAAAAACAAUACAUGAAUGGAUGGGUGUGGUUGUGUUCCAAUAAAACUUUUUUUACCAAAAACAGAUAGCAGGCUGAAUUCAGCUUAUGGUUUGCAGACCUCUCGUCUUGACCAUUUCUGGUUAGUGCAUCAAGCCACCAGCUGAGCUUCAGUUUUUAUAUAACAGUGAUAGUCAUGAUAUGAAUUGGGAGCUUAUCAGAAUCUCUGAGCAUAAGAUUAUAACAUAAACAUCUCUCCAUCCUUUUAUUUAUUAUGCAUUAAACAAAAAACUUUCUCUGCCUACCCCUUUAAAGACUCAUUCAACCACCACUCUGCUCCAGCAGAGAAAAAGAUGUGUGUUUUGGUUUCCUCCACAAGGAAUGAUUAGGGAAAUGGUUAGAGACUUGCUGUAUAACAUUAGAGACUUGCUCAGAUAAAUAGGCCUUCACUUUAACUGUGGUAUAAAUGAAGCAGCCGAGAGAAUGACAGCAUCAUUAAUUCAAGGAAUAUUUAUUGAGCACCUACUAUGUGAAAGGUCCUGGAAUACAGGUAUUAGAGAAGUGGUAAACAAAAGACACAGGCUCUCCAUCUCUUAUAAAGCUUAGAAUCUGACUAGGAGACACACAAUCUGUACAUAAACACAAAAGAUAUAAAUGAUUAUUAAUUAAAAAAGAAAAUGAGUAAUAUGAAAGAAAUUCACAGUUUGUCAUGAGAAUAAAUAUGGAGUGAACCUAAUGAAGCUUGGAGGUCAAGGAGGAUCUGUUUAAGGAAAUGACCUUUAAACUAAGACCUGAAAAAUGGGCAGAAAUUAGGUGAAGAGUAGGCAAUGGGAAAGAUUACAGGUUAAAU